Molecule: unclassified non-coding RNA, 981 nt
Filed under: Hevea brasiliensis (rubber tree)
Lineage: Eukaryota; Viridiplantae; Streptophyta; Magnoliopsida; Malpighiales; Euphorbiaceae
Source: RNAcentral
AAAAAAAAAAAAAAAAAGAAGAGAUUAUAUGUAUUGAACUUUGAACAGAAUAUGGUGCCAUUUCUUAUUUCUUUGAAGGAAGUCAAUAAUGGCAAUUUCUUCUUUGUGAAAAUAUAUUGAGUCAAACUUCAAAGCCUUGAAAGCAAUGACAUCUAACAUAAUAUUUAGUUCCAUGUAUAAAUCCUACACUUGCCUGGAUUUGUCUCUUCAUAGAAUAAGUUAACAUGACGUGAAAAUGCCUAAAUUAGGGGCAGAAAAGCUUUUUAUUUGAUCUGAGAGAGUCAUAAGGCAAAGACAGAAUCUUCAGAGUGACAUUUGAUUUAUUUACCUGAAUCUUUAGCUCGCCAUUGAUUAUGAUGAAGCAUGCUUCUGAAGAAAAUUGAAAAUCUCAUACACUUCUAAUUAAUGGGAUUUGAUUUGAAUAUGAUGUAGUAAAAGCACUCUAAGUAUAAGCAAUCAGAUUCACCAAUGAAAUUGGCAGGAAAAAAAAUGUAGGCAAUGGAUAAGCACAAUAUUGACAAUCAAUGAAAUAGAAUUUGAUAUCAACCAUAGCCAAUAAAGAACACACUUGUGCAGAAACAUAUAACAAUGAGCUCCUCAACAAUACUCCCCAGCAAUAAACAUGUCAAAAUGGUAACCUUAGCAAAGCUCCUUGGCAAUAAUCAAUAUAAUUCAAGAUAUGUCUCUUCAGCAUCCCAAAAAUACAUUGUCACAGCUAAAAACAAUCCUAAACAGAAAUCACAGUUACUGAAUUAGUUUCCUGAAGUUGAAGCACAGUAAGAUACUCACCAGAUUUUUUCCCUCAACAAUAACCCGAUUCUGAGAACGAAUGAUGCGCUUAAUAAUACCAGUCUCACCUUUAUCCUUGCCCCUGAUUAUCAUUACAUUAUCUCCUCUGAGUACUUUCCAGUGCCUAAUUAGCUUUUCAGCAGCUUUCCAACCCAUUUUCAACUAUGAAUGAGAACUAAGACCUUCACAGAA